UAUAGCUGUCAUUUGAUAAAGAAGAGAUGUGCAUGAGCAGCCUUCAACAGUAUAAAGAGAACCAUUAACGGCAAAGAACCCUGGCAUGGCAGUCGAAAAUAUCUGCGUUCAAACUCUAGCUGUGUCACUCAUUAACUAUAAAAUCUUGA
Molecule: long non-coding RNA, 149 nt
Organism: Cercocebus atys (sooty mangabey)
Lineage: Eukaryota; Metazoa; Chordata; Mammalia; Primates; Cercopithecidae
Exons: 2
Source: RefSeq, a predicted model, not a curated record